GGAAGACUCACUGCAGAAACACCAGGUCUGUGCUCAGACCUGAGCCUCUUUCCCCAAGGUGUCCUCAGGAUUAGACAACCUGAACUCUGUGGUAACCUGAGCAGAUGGCAUCAAAUCUCAUGCAGCCCAGGAUGAACGCAUAGCCAAGAAUGAUCUCCAACUCCCAACCCUUCUUCCCCUCAGGUGAGUGUCAUGUGAGAAUGAACGCAGAUGAAAGCUUACGAAGAUAGUGAGUUUCGCUGGCAAACGUCUGCAGGAGUGCAGUGCAACAGAAGAUCAGAUGCCACAUCUGCCAUGGCGCUGGUCAGCAUACUUCACGACGUCUGUGUCUGAAGCCAUCAUCCCCGUGGCUGCAAAUGGACACCUAGGUCCCUUCCCUGCAGUAGCUUCUGUCAUUCUCUGUCACCUGUUAAUGGUGGUGCUCUGGAAAGCUGCUUUGGAGGGUUUAUUUAUUUUUUUUUUUGUCCUAAUGCACCAAGGAGAAAACUGGCAUGUGCUGUCCUAGGCUUAUCUAUGCGGACUGACUUGAUCAGAGUACCUCUUGUGUGAGACCCGGAAUGAAGAGCUUCUACCUUGGACUUUUAAGAGCGCACUGUCCAGAUAGAUAUUAACCCACAGUCUCUCCAAAUAGAUAGUAAGCCUCAAGGGGUCAAGUACAUAGUCCAAGAUAAACAACAAAUGAGGAGAUAAUAUGUUUGUGUUGAGAAUGGGGAGCCUGGUGCCCAGACCUAAGCAUUAGAGUCAA
Non-coding RNA from Peromyscus maniculatus bairdii (prairie deer mouse), 745 nucleotides. The record is from RefSeq and is a predicted model, not a curated record. Lineage: Eukaryota; Metazoa; Chordata; Mammalia; Rodentia; Cricetidae.